Molecule: ribosomal RNA, 497 nt
Filed under: uncultured bacterium
Lineage: Bacteria
Description: partial 16S ribosomal RNA
Rfam family: Bacterial small subunit ribosomal RNA
Source: RNAcentral
GAUGAACGCUGGCGGCGUGCCUAAUACAUGCAAGUCGAGCGAACAGACGCGGCGCUUGCUCCUCUGACGUUAGCGGCGGACGGGUGAGUAACACGUGUAUAACCUACCUAUAAGACUGGGAUAACUUCGGGAAACCGGCGCUAAUCCCGGAUAAUAUAUUGAACCGCAUGGUUCAAUAGUGAAAGACGGUUUUUCUGUCACUUCUCGAUGGAUCCCGGCCGCAUUAGCUGGUUGUUAAGGUAACGGCUUACCAAGGCAACGCUGCGUAGACGACGUGACGGGGGGAUCGGCCACAUGGGAGCGUAACCAGCGACAUGGGGCCUACGGGAGGCAGCAGUAGGGAAUCGUACGCAGCAGGCGAAAGCUUGACGGAGCGAGGCGGAGCGAGUGAUGGAGAUCUUGGGAGCGGGAAGAUGGGUUAUGAGUGAUAAACAAAUUUGGAAGUAAAUGUGCACGGCGUGACGGUACCGAGUCAGAAAGCAACGGCUAACUACGUG